RNAcentral lists this long non-coding RNA (229 nucleotides) under Zalophus californianus (California sea lion). RNAcentral describes it as "lncRNA (ENSZCAG00015008877.1)". Lineage: Eukaryota; Metazoa; Chordata; Mammalia; Carnivora; Otariidae. The record is from RNAcentral.
UAAGACUGUCCUUUUUUGCAUAAGUCUCAUUAAUCAACGUCACUGCACAAUUCCCAGCAUAGGUAUGACAAAGGAAACCUGUCCCGAAUCUAUUGGUUUUCUGUCUAAGGCCUGGAAGGUUAUACAGCAUUUGAAAUUCAAAAGGAAGAUGUUGCCUGCUAUCUUGCAUAAAUCUCUAACAAUUGCAAAUGGAAUAUAUUAUCGUCAGAUCCAAUUGCUUAUAUCCAAU